UAUAUGAUGAACAUUCAAUUGGUCCGUGUUUAUGACUUUGUUUGAUUAUUUUACUUAUCCAAUCUUCUGAUAUAU
Molecule: non-coding RNA, 75 nt
Organism: Anopheles merus
Lineage: Eukaryota; Metazoa; Arthropoda; Insecta; Diptera; Culicidae
Source: Rfam